RNAcentral lists this unclassified non-coding RNA (395 nucleotides) under soil metagenome. RNAcentral's name for it is "partial contains 5.8S ribosomal RNA, internal transcribed spacer 2, and large subunit ribosomal RNA". The stretch from base 1 to 122 matches the Rfam family "5.8S ribosomal RNA", at positions 35 to 154 of the family's 154-position model. The record is from RNAcentral.
GAUGAAGAACGUAGCGAAAUGCGAUACUUGGUGUGAAUUGCAGAAUCCCGUGAACCAUCGAGUCUUUGAACGCAAGUUGCGCCCGAAGCCAUCAGGUUGAGGGCACGUCUGCCUGGGCGUCACAUAUCGUUGCCCAAUGCCUAUUGCAGUGCAAUAGGAAUUUCUAGGGCGAAUGAUGGCUUCCCGUGAGCGUUGUUGCCUCGCGGUUGGUUGAAAAUUGAGUCCUUGGUAGGGUGUGCCAUGGUAGAUGAUGGUCGAGUUAGAACGAUACCGAUCAUGUGCAUGCUCCCCAAAAUAUGGCCUCUAUGACCCACACGCGUCUUUUGACGCUCAUGACGAGACCUCAGGUCAGGCGGGGCUACCCGCUGAAUUUAAGCAUAUCAAUAAGCGGAGGA